GCUUGAAGAAUAAAAUAAAAAAAUGGGCCAAUGUUGCACAAUCCAGGUGUGAAAAGCUCUUAAAGACUUACCCAGAAAGCCUCACAACUGUAAUCACUGCCAAAGGUGCUUCCACAAAGUAUUGACUGAGGUGUGAAUACUUAUGGAAAUGAGAUAUUUCUGUAAUUCAUUUUCAAUAGAUUUGCUCAAGUCACAUCUUCUUCUGCUCCUCCCUUCCGGCGUACGACGUCGCCAGAAUACUAACCACCGGUCCUGGGAUUCAUCAUUACGCGCACCUGGCACUCAUCAUUACGCGCACCUGUUAAUCAUUAUGAUUCACACCUGGACUCCAUUACCUUCAUCAUUUCCUCCCCUUUAUAUGUCACUCCCUUAUGUUUUCUCACCAGUUGGUAUUGUUUGUGUUUACUGGCGUUGAAAUGGAAUUGUCUCGUUACUGAUUUUUUGGUUGUUUUUUUUUAACAUUUCAUUGCUUCCUGCUUCCCGACUCACAGCUCCGUUAUUACCAACUCAAACUAUCGAAGCAGCAGGAAAAUCGGAAAUCUCUCAGACGGUCGACGAACAAGCGUACCUUCUACGUCAACGCCAUAACCAGCUGGCUCAACUGGGGACGGCCGUGGAAGAGGUUCUCCGAGAGACGCUGCAUCCCAGUAUCGGAGGAAACUCUAGAGCCAGUCUACCCAACGAGCCAGCGCAACGGCCCAUUCAACAACCCACUCAGGUCAGCGACGCCCGUCUAUCCCUGCCGGAUGAAUACGACGGUACACCAUCCAAAAUGCCGUGGCUUCCUCCUUCAGUGCGUCCUCUAUUUUUCAACCAAUUGGGAGCCCCCACCACCGAGAGAUCUAAGGUUGCCAUGGUUAUUUCUCUGCUGACCGGGCGGGUAUUGGAAUGGGCUACGGCCGUCUGGGAGAGAGGAGAGGAGGAGCUAGAUUCUUAUGAGGGGUUCAUGGCUCUGUUUUAAAUGUAUUUUUGAUCAUCCCGCGGAGGUCAGAGAGGGAGGUGAGCGUCUGCUUCAGCUACAGCAGGGGAAUCAGACGGCUGCUGAGUAUGUGCUUAACUUCCGGACAGUAGCAGCUUCCACUAGAUGGAAUGAGCCGGUGCUUCACACGCUAUUCAGAAGAGGUCCAGACAGAACUGGCCUGUUGGGAUGACUACCUCACCCUGGACACACUCAUUGCGAUGGCCAUCCGCCCCGAUAACCUCCUCCGGGAGCGUUGGUAUUCUCAUCGCUUCUUUCCCUCCUUCGGCAAAUAUUCGGGAUGAGAGCCUGAACCCAUGGAGGUAAGGGUCACACGCCUUUCUGUGGCAGAACGACGCAGACAGAUACAGCUGGGGCUAUGUCUGGAUUGUGGGCAAGGAGGGCACAAGCUCCAGCGGAGUCCGGUACUUCAGGAUCCACUAGAGCAGAGGGACGGUCACGUGAUGUUCCAUCCCCUGGACCAGGAGUGAGUAUUCUAGAUUCAGCUCUUCCUGCUAGACUCUUUUUGGUGUCCAUCACUCUGGCUGACUGUCCCUCAUGCCCUGUGUCUACAGCUUCAGUGGAUUCCGGCGCCGCGGGAAACUUUAUGGAUCAGACCCUUGCCUCCUCCCUCAACAUUACCAUCUAUCAGCUCUCCUCUCCUUUUCGAAGACUCGACUGUCGGCCCAUAAGGAUCUGGGACCAUCACACACAUCACUCAACCACUCACCCACUCACUUCGUGGAGUCCAAUCAACAGGAGAACAUGUCUUUCUUCAAUACAAGUGCACCAGGUCACAAAAUCAUCCUCGGCCUCCCUUGGCGCCAAUGCCAUAACCCUAUUAUCUCAUGGUUGAGGAGGAAAAUCAGACUCAUCUGAAUGCCGGUAGACCUGCAUCCCUGUUCCACGUCGGUUGAGAGUCCAAUGGUUGCCCUUCAGCCCAACAUCCCAGAGGAAUACCAGGACCUUAAAGUGGUAUUCUCCAAGACCCGCGCUACUUGUCUCCCUCCUCCUCAUCGCCCCUGGGACUGUGACAUCGACCUGUUUUCCGGUGCUACACCUCCACGCAAACACAUCUACCCUCUGUCUGUGGCUAAGACCCAGGCCAUGGAGGCCUGCGUCUGCUGGGUUCUUCUUCGUGGCCAAGGAGGGAGGAUUACGCCCAUGUAUCGUUUACCGAGGACUCAAUGACAUCACCAAGAAGUAUUGGUACCCUCUCCCGUUGGUGCCGUCAGCCAUAGAGCAGCUCUGCAGGGCCCGGUUCUUCACCAAACUGGACCUGCGGAGUGCCUACAAUCUCAUCCACAUCCGGGAGGGGGAUGAGUGAAAGACGGCGUUCAGCACAAUCUCUGGUAACUACGAGUAUUUGGUUAUGCCCUUUGGCUUAGCCAAUUCUCCGUCAGUGUUCCAGGCAUUCGUCAAUGAGAUGUUCAGGGACAUGCUCGGACGGCAGAUGAUUGUAUACAUCGAUGACAUCCUGAUCUUCUCGACCAACCUGAAAGAUCACAUCACCCACGUCCGAGCAGUCCUGGAACGCCUCUUGGUCAAUCACUUGUUCGUCAUGGCGGAGAAGUGCCAAUUCCAUCAGAGGGCUGUAUCCUUCCUGGGUUACCAAAUCAGCCCGCAGGGAGUGAGGAUAGAGGACAAGAAGAAAUUGUCCUCCGCAGAGAGGAAUUACGACGUCUGCGAUCGGGAGCUCCUGGCGGUGAAGUUGGCAUUAGAGGAGUGGAGACACUGGCUGGAGGGCGCCAAGGAACCAUUCGUCAUCCUCACCGACCAUCAGAACCUAGAGUACAUACGGACAGCGAGGAGACUGAUUCCGCGCCAAGCCAGGUGGCACAUUUCUCCACCUGGUUCGACUUCACGCUGACCCAUCGCCCAGGUUCUAAGAACAUCAAGGCCGAUGCCCUGUCCCAUAUCUACGUUUCGGGAGAAGUUACUGUCCAGAAGGCACCCAUAAUCCCAUCCUCCCGAGUCGUGGAUCCAGUGGUUUGGGACGUAGAUGUGGACAUCCGCCAGGCUCUAGAGGGAGCCUGCAUCCCGAGCGUAUCUACGUUCCCAAAGGGGGUAAGGGAUCGGCUGCUGACCUGGGCACACACAGCUGUCGUUGCUGGACAUCCAGGUAUUUAUCGCAACAUCCACUCCAUUGCUGAGAAGAACUGGUGGCCUGUCUUGGUGCAGGAUGUCACUCGGUAUGUCAGCUCCUGUUCCAUUGGUGCUCAAACCAAGUCCCCCCGGAAUGCUCCAGCAGGGAAGCUCCUGCCGCUUCCCAUGCCUCAGCAACCUUGGUCACAUCUAUCCAUUGACUUUGUAACCGCGUCUGGUUCUCUACCAGGAACCUCCCACUCUGCCUGCCCUGCAAGAAACUGGUUUGUGUGGCCGGUCAAGGUUCUCUGGAGGGUCAACGAGGUGACGUACAGGUUACAACUACCCAGUCACUAUCGCAUCUCACCCUCUUCAUGUCUCCCUUCUCUGGCCGGUGGUUCCUGGUCCCCUAGCUGAUACUGUCUGCCACGACACUCACCCCGGAUAUUGAGGGGGGGUCCGGCGUACGCUGUCAGAUCCCUACUUGACUCCCGACGUUGUUGGGGUUGGCUCCAGUACCUGGUGGCCUGGGAGGGGUAUGGCCCAGAGGAGCGGUGUUGGUUUCCGUUGGAGGACAUUCUGGACCCCAAACAUCAUCCGUGAUUUCCACCUUCGCCGCACGGACCAACCCGCUCCUCGGGGUCGUCCCCCUGGUUGGCGUCGUCCUGCGUCUGGAGCCGCGCAUCAGAGGGGGACGGACAGACGGGUACUGUCACAUCUACGCCUCCCCUCUGGCGUACGACGUUGCCAGAAUACUAACCACAGGUCCUGGCACUCAUUACGCACACCUGUUAAUCAUUAUGAUUCACACCUGGGCUUCAUUUCCUUCCCUCCCUUAUGUUUUCUCACCUGUUGGUAUUGUUCUCGUUUACCGGCGUGUAGCCUUACGGAAUUAUCUCAUUCCUGGUUUUGUUAUAAUUAAACGUUUCACCUGCACCUGCUUCCCGACUCAGCUCUGUUAUUACAGCUAAAAUGUCUAAAAACAUGUUUUCACUUCGUCAUUAUUGGGUGUAGAUGGGUGAGAGAAAAUGUACUUCAUC
RNAcentral lists this long non-coding RNA (4083 nucleotides) under Salmo salar (Atlantic salmon). Its description in RNAcentral is "lncRNA (ENSSSAG00000090104.1, ENSSSAG00000116134.1)". The record is from RNAcentral. Lineage: Eukaryota; Metazoa; Chordata; Actinopteri; Salmoniformes; Salmonidae.